This 1422-nucleotide long non-coding RNA is filed under the name Salmo trutta (river trout). RNAcentral's name for it is "lncRNA (ENSSTUG00000028422.1)". The record is from RNAcentral. Lineage: Eukaryota; Metazoa; Chordata; Actinopteri; Salmoniformes; Salmonidae.
AUGGAGGAGACGCCGGCCAGCAGACGGGGUCGCUGGCGUCGGUCGAGGAAGCCCGGAAGACACCCCCAAGAAAAUUUUUGGGGGGGGCUAAUGGGGUGGUCCGGAAGGGCAGAGGAGGAGCCCAGACCACUGCUCUCGUGGGGGAUGACGGCAGAGGAGGAGACGGAGAUGAGGUGGUUUAUUGAGGACCUGCUGAAGGAAGAUCUGGAGGAGGAGCCAUGGGAUGCGGAGUUGCGCGCUGUGUCGCCAGUGCGUCCGCACAGCCCGGUGCGUCCGGUGGACAUGCCCAGCACAUGCCGUGCUAGGAAGGGCAUCCAGCCAGGAAGAGUGGCAAAACCGGCUCCACGCUUCAGUUCACCAGUGCGUGUUCACAGUCCUGUCUGGCCCGUCCCUGCUCCCCGCACCAAGUCCACAGUGCAUGUCCCCAGUCCUGUCCGGUCCGUCCCUGCUCCCCGCACCAAGCCCAAGGUGCAUGUCCACAGUCCUGUCCGGCCCGUACCUACUCCCCGCACCAAGCCCAAGGUGUGUGUCCCCAGCCCUGCCAGUCAGCAGUCGUCAGAGCUGCCCGCCAGUCAACAGUCGUCGGAGCUGCCCGCCAGUCAACAGUCGUCGGAGCUGCCCGCCAGUCAACAGUCGUCGGAGCUGCCCACCAGUCAACAGUCGUCAGAGCUGCCCGCCAGUCAACAGUCGCCAGAGAGGUCAGACUGCGCUGAACUGCCGAAGUGGCCAGACUGCGCUGAACUGCCGGAGUGGCCAGACUGCGCUGAACUGCCGGAGUGGCCAGACUGCGCCGAACUGCCGGAGUGGCCAGACUGCGCCGAACUGCCGGAGUGGCCAGACUGCGCCGAACUGCCGGAGUGGCCAGACUGCGCCGAACUGCCGGAGUGGCCAGACUGCCCCGAACUGCCGGAGUGGCCAGACUGCCCCGAACUGCCGGAGUGGCCAGACUGCCCCGAACUGCCGGAGUGGCCAGACUGCCCCGAACUGCCGGCGUGGCCAGACUGCCCCGAACUGCCGGAGUGGCCAGACUGCCCCGAACUGCCGGAGUGGCCAGACUGCCCCGAACUGCCGGAGUGGCCAGACUGCCCCGAACUGCCGGAGUGGCCAGGGACGCCCGCCAGCCCGGUGAGUCCUGUGCCUACGCCUAGGGACAGGCCUCUGUCAUGUCUCCCCAGCCUGGUGAAUCCUGGGUCAGUGCCGUCGGAGCAGCCAGGGUCGCCCGCCAGCCGGGCGCAACCAUCGCCGGCCGCCAGCCGGGCGCAACAAGGGUCGCCCGCCAGCCGGGCGCAACCAUCGCCGCCCGCCAGCCGGGCGCAGUCAGCGUCGCCCACCAGACCUUCGGCGCGGCCAGGUGCGCCACCUAAGAGGGCGACGUCAAGGGUGGAGCAGAGGCCACGUCCCGCACCUGAGCCGCCGCCGUAA